RNAcentral lists this ribosomal RNA (406 nucleotides) under uncultured Actinomycetes bacterium. Its description in RNAcentral is "bacterial SSU rRNA". It matches the Rfam family "Bacterial small subunit ribosomal RNA", at positions 355 to 776 of the family's 1533-position model. The record is from RNAcentral. Lineage: Bacteria; Bacillati; Actinomycetota; Actinomycetes.
UGGGGAAUCUUGCGCAAUGGGCGAAAGCCUGACGCAGCAACGCCGCGUGCGGGAUGACAGCCUUCGUGGUUGUAAACCGCUUUCAGCAGGGACGAAAAUGACGGUACCUGCAGAAGAAGCUCCGGCUAACUACGUGCCAGCAGCCGCGGUAAUACGUAGGGAGCAAGCGUUGUCCGGAUUCAUUGGGCGUAAAGAGCUCGUAGGCGGUUCAGUAAGUCGGGUGUGAAAGCUCCGAGCUCAACUCGGAGAGGCCACCCGAUACUGCUGUGACUAGAGUCCAGUAGGGGAGCGUGGAAUUCCUGGUGUAGCGGUGAAAUGCGCAGAUAUCAGGAGGAACACCAGCGGCGAAGGCGGCGCUCUGGGCUGGAACUGACGCUGAGGAGCGAAAGCGUGGGUAGCAAACAGG